This 424-nucleotide ribosomal RNA is filed under the name Verrucomicrobiota bacterium. RNAcentral describes it as "Verrucomicrobia bacterium partial 16S ribosomal RNA". It matches the Rfam family "Bacterial small subunit ribosomal RNA", at positions 355 to 776 of the family's 1533-position model. The record is from RNAcentral. Lineage: Bacteria; Pseudomonadati; Verrucomicrobiota.
UGAGGAAUAUUGGUCAAUGGACACAAGUCUGAACCAGCCAAGUAGCGUGCAGGAUGACGGCCCUAUGGGUUGUAAACUGCUUUUAUAUGGGGAUAAAGUGGGGAACGUGUUCCCUUUUGCAGGUACCAUAUGAAUAAGGACCGGCUAAUUCCGUGCCAGCAGCCGCGGUAAUACGGAAGGUUCGGGCGUUAUCCGGAUUUAUUGGGUUUAAAGGGAGCGUAGGCCGUUUGGUAAGCGUGUUGUGAAAUGUAGGAGCUCAACUUCUAGAUUGCAGCGCGAACUGUCAGACUUGAGUGCGCACAACGUAGGCGGAAUUCAUGGUGUAGCGGUGAAAUGCUUAGAUAUCAUGAAGAACUCCGAUUGCGAAGGCAGCUUACGGGAGCGCAACUGACGCUGAAGCUCGAAGGUGCGGGUAUCGAACAGG